Molecule: ribosomal RNA, 497 nt
Filed under: uncultured bacterium
Lineage: Bacteria
Description: partial 16S ribosomal RNA
Rfam family: Bacterial small subunit ribosomal RNA
Source: RNAcentral
GAUGGACGCUGGCGGCGUGCCUAAUACAUGCAAGUCGAGCGAACGGACGAGAAGCUUGCUUCUCUGAUGUUAGCGGCGGACGGGUGAGUAACACGUGGAUAACCUACCUAUAAGACUGGGAUAACUUCGGGAAACCGGAGCUAAUACCGGAUAAUAUUUUGAACCGCAUGGUUCAAAAGUGAAAGACGGUCUUGCUGUCACUUAUAGAUGGAUCCGCGCUGCAUUAGCUAGUUGGUAAGGUAACGGCUUACCAAGGCAACGAUGCAUAGCCGACCUGAGAGGGUGAUCGGCCACACUGGAACUGAGACACGGUCCAGACUCCUACGGGAGGCAGCAGUAGGGAAUCUUCCGCAAUGGGCGAAAGCCUGACGGAGCAACGCCGCGUGAGUGAUGAAGGUCUUCGGAUCGUAAAACUCUGUUAUUAGGGAAGAACAUAUGUGUAAGUAACUGUGCAUAUCUUGACGGUACCUAAUCAGAAAGCCACGGCUAACUACGUG